RNAcentral lists this ribosomal RNA (502 nucleotides) under uncultured bacterium. RNAcentral describes it as "bacterial SSU rRNA". It matches the Rfam family "Bacterial small subunit ribosomal RNA", at positions 521 to 1019 of the family's 1533-position model. The record is from RNAcentral.
UAAUACAGAGGGGGCAAGCGUUGUUCGGAAUUAUUGGGCGUAAAGGGCGCGUANGCGGUGCGGUAAGUCUUUUGUGAAAUCUCCGGGCUCAACUCGGAGCCUGCAAGGGAAACUGCCGUGCUUGAGUGUGGGAGAAGUGAGUGGAAUUCCCGGUGUANCGGUGAAAUGCGUAGAUAUCGGGAGGAACACCUGUGGCGAAAGCGGCUCACUGGACCACAACUGACGCUGAGGCGCGAAAGCUAGGGGAGCAAACAGGAUUAGAUACCCUGGUAGUCCUAGCCCUAAACGAUGAUUGCUUGGUGUNCAGGUNCCCAAUCCUGCUGUGCCGAAGCUAACGCGAUAAGCAAUCCGCCUGGGGAGUNCGGUCGCAAGGCUGAAACUCCAAGGAAUUGACGGGGGCCGCCACAAACGGUGGAACAUGUGGUUUAAUUCGACGCCGCGCGAAGAACCUUACCUGGGCUCGAAACGCCAUUGGACUGCCGUAGAAAUAUCCGCCUUUCUC